RNAcentral lists this ribosomal RNA (497 nucleotides) under uncultured bacterium. RNAcentral describes it as "partial 16S ribosomal RNA". It matches the Rfam family "Bacterial small subunit ribosomal RNA", at positions 28 to 507 of the family's 1533-position model. The record is from RNAcentral.
GAUGAACGCUGGCGGCGUGCCUAAUACAUGCAAGUCGAGCGAACAGAUGAGGAGCUUGCUCCUCUGACGUUAGCGGCGGACGGGUGAGUAACACGUGGAUAACCUACCUAUAAGACUGGGAUAACUUCGGGAAACCGGAGCUAAUACCGGAUAAUAUAUUGAACCGCAUGGUUCAAUAGUGAAAGACGGCUUUGCUGUCACUUAUAGAUGGAUCCGCGCCGCAUUAGCUAGUUGGUAAGGUAACGGCUUACCAAGGCAACGAGGCGUAGCCGACCUGAGAGGGUGGUCGGCCACACUGGAACUGGAACGCGGUCCAGGCGCCUACGGGAGGCAGCAGUAGGGAAUCUUCCGCAAUGGGCGAAAGCCUGACGGAGCAACGCCGCGUGAGUGAUGAAGGUCUUCGGAUCGUAAAACUCUGUUAUUAGGGGAGAACAAAUGUGUAAGUAACUAUGCACGUCUUGACGGUACCUAAUCAGAAAGCCACGGCUAACUACGUG